Lactuca sativa (garden lettuce) is the source of this 413-nucleotide long non-coding RNA. RefSeq lists it as uncharacterized. The record is from RefSeq and is a predicted model, not a curated record. Lineage: Eukaryota; Viridiplantae; Streptophyta; Magnoliopsida; Asterales; Asteraceae.
CUACCUCCCCACUAUAUCUUCGCCAUUCAUUCUACCACCUACUUUGGCCGCGACCACCGCAGAAAAACCCACCAUCUCACUUUCUCUUGAUCCAGAAAACAAAAAACAUGUAACUCACCAAAACAUGUGUAGGGUUGAAGAGCAGAUGUUACUGUUAUCAUCAUAAUAUUACUUAUAACAUAUUUUUAUAUUGGACUGGUAUGGAUCUUGCUAUGUUGGGGAAAGGAGAGCUUAAAGACAGGGUGUUGAUUCACGUUUCUUGGGGUAUUCUAUCUAUUUUAUGUUUUCUGAGUCAGUUGUAUGGUUUUACCCAUAUUCCAUUUUCUGUCACAUAUUUGGUUGUUGGGGUAUAUGUGAUGGUGAAAGAAGGAUCAUUAGGUUUAUUUAUUGCUAUUACAGGGAGAUUAUAUACA